GACCCCAGGUCAGGGGGGAAUCCCCGCUGAAUUUAACAUUCAAUAAAGGGAGAAGA
Molecule: ribosomal RNA, 56 nt
Filed under: Mangifera indica (mango)
Lineage: Eukaryota; Viridiplantae; Streptophyta; Magnoliopsida; Sapindales; Anacardiaceae
Description: partial 28S ribosomal RNA
Source: RNAcentral